Molecule: ribosomal RNA, 497 nt
Filed under: uncultured bacterium
Lineage: Bacteria
Description: partial 16S ribosomal RNA
Rfam family: Bacterial small subunit ribosomal RNA
Source: RNAcentral
GACGAACGCUGGCGGCGUGCCUAAUACAUGCAAGUUGAGCGCUGAAGGUUGGUACUUGUACCAACUGGAUGAGCAGCGAACGGGUGAGUAACGCGUGGGGAAUCUGCCUUUGAGCGGGGGACAACAUUUGGAAACGAAUGCUAAUACCGCAUAAAAACUUUAAACACAAGUUUUAAGUUUGAAAGAUGCAAUUGCAUCACUCAAAGAUGAUCCCGCGUUGUAUUAGCUAGUUGGUGAGGUAAAGGCUCACCAAGGCGAUGAUACAUAGCCGACCUGAGAGGGUGAUCGGCCACAUUGGGACUGAGACACGGCCCAAACUCCUACGGGAGGCAGCAGUAGGGAAUCUUCGGCAAUGGACGAAAGUCUGAACGAGCAACGCCGCGGGAGUGAAGAAGGUUUUCGGAUCGGAAAACUCUGUUGGUAGAGAAGAACGUUGGUGAGAGUGGAAAGCUCAUCAAGUGACGGUAACUACCCAGAAAGGGACGGCUAACUACGUG